This 1195-nucleotide long non-coding RNA is filed under the name Gouania willdenowi (blunt-snouted clingfish). RNAcentral describes it as "lncRNA (ENSGWIG00000002716.1)". The record is from RNAcentral. Lineage: Eukaryota; Metazoa; Chordata; Actinopteri; Blenniiformes; Gobiesocidae.
AUAAAAUCUCCAAUGAACAAUCUAUGCUAAGCUAACUAGCUACUCAAAAUACCUUUCUAUUCACUCUUCUCUCAAUCCAUGAUCUUGUUUUCAGCCAAUAGUAAAAAUCAAUUGUAAUUUAAUCCAUUGAGGGCAGUCACUCUGACAUUUUACAACAAAAUACAACAAAUUGAAAUACUUUGACUACAAUGUUGAGAGUUGGACCAGAAUCAAUCAACAGCACUACUUAGUACCAAAAUACAUAUGUAUUCAGCAGAAAAAAGUGCUUUUGGGGUUAGGUACUCUUAAAAGACGAGGCCUUGGUUCAGUUGUUUUUGGCUAACUUUUGAUGAUUGAUGCCAUCCUUGAUUAGGUCAUUCUUUGUAUUAAUAUUGUGAUUCUCUGCAUGACUGUAAAAUGCUUGUAAAAAUCACUGAUCUAAAUGCUUACAUUACUUUAGCCUGUUACUAACACAUGAUGUCACUGAUCUGCUCACUGAGCCUCUUUCUUUCCUCAGAUCCUAAAUGAUAUUUUUGAUGUAGAUUUUUUUGAUGAGCAGGCGUUUUUCCGAGAUCUGCAGGAGUUUGAGGAGGACCAAACAGUCAAUGAUGGCCAGUACGGGGCCCAACAGAAUCAUCUACUCGCAUUUCUUCAUGAUCACACGUACACUGCCCAAGAACCUCAGGGUCAACCAGCCUUCACCCCAAUUAUGGACCCCUUGCCUGAAGCUGAGCACUGGCACUCACAAAAUCUAGGGCCCGUAAACGUCCCUCUAGAUCCUAAUGUCGUCUACAUGCAGGAUGCACAAUAUGUUGAGUUCUCAACCUUUACUACUAAUGCUGUGCCUGCUAUGACAGUAAGAUCUUUAACACACGCCUUCAUGUAUUUUUGUAGAUCUUUGUAUUAAAACCAUGACGGGGUGUCUAACAUGCAUGUGUUUUUAUGUCUCUAGGAUUAUGGAAUUCCAGUUUACAGUCCAGGGAUAUAUACAGCUCCCACUUUUGGAGGACAGUAAGUAAACCAGCAAACAGACGAGAUUAAACGCAGACGUGAUUUCUGAUCCAGUUUAUGUGUGUUUAACUUUGUAGGAAUGGGAAUGACUUUGGUUUGAUGGUUCAACCACUGCCCCCAGUGCAAACAGCGUUCCCAGGGAAGGUCCCAGUCUCACAGUGAGUAAUUUUAAUCCUACAUGUAUUUCUUGUGACUGACUCUUGAC